AUUGAACGCUGGCGGCAUGCCUUACACAUGCAAGUCGAACGGCAGCACGGGGGCAAUCCUGGUGGCGAGUGGCGAACGGGUGAGUAAUAUAUCGGAACGUGCCCAGUCGUGGGGGAUAACGUAGCGAAAGCUACGCUAAUACCGCAUACGAUCUAUGGAUGAAAGCGGGGGAUCGCAAGACCUCGCGCGAUUGGAGCGGCCGAUAUCAGAUUAGGUAGUUGGUGAGGUAAAGGCUCACCAAGCCGACGAUCUGUAGCUGGUCUGAGAGGACGACCAGCCACACUGGGACUGAGACACGGCCCAGACUCCUACGGGAGGCAGCAGUGGGGAAUUUUGGACAAUGGGCGCAAGCCUGAUCCAGCAAUGCCGCGUGCAGGAUGAAGGCCUUCGGGUUGUAAACUGCUAUUGUACGGAACGAAACGGCGAGCUCUAAUACAGUUUGCUAAUGACGGUACCGUAAGAAUAAGCACCGGCUAACUACGUGCCAGCAGCCGCAGUAA
Molecule: ribosomal RNA, 500 nt
Filed under: uncultured bacterium
Lineage: Bacteria
Description: partial 16S ribosomal RNA
Rfam family: Bacterial small subunit ribosomal RNA
Source: RNAcentral